AGGACGAACGCUGGCGGCAGGCUUAACACAUGCAAGUCGAGCGGAAAGGCCCUUCGGGGUACUCGAGCGGCGAACGGGUGAGUAACACGUGAGCAACCUGCCCUUAGCUCCGGGAUAGCUCCGGGAAACCGGAAUUAAUACCGGAUACGACCACGGCCGACAUCUGCUGUGGUGGAAAGGAUUCCGGCUAAGGAUGGGCUCGCGGCCUAUCAGCUAGUUGGUGGAGUAACGGCCCACCAAGGCGACGACGGGUA
RNAcentral lists this ribosomal RNA (254 nucleotides) under uncultured bacterium. Its description in RNAcentral is "partial small subunit ribosomal RNA". It matches the Rfam family "Bacterial small subunit ribosomal RNA", at positions 26 to 285 of the family's 1533-position model. The record is from RNAcentral.